This 497-nucleotide ribosomal RNA is filed under the name uncultured bacterium. RNAcentral describes it as "partial 16S ribosomal RNA". It matches the Rfam family "Bacterial small subunit ribosomal RNA", at positions 28 to 507 of the family's 1533-position model. The record is from RNAcentral.
GAUGAACGCUGGCGGCGUGCCUAAUACAUGCAAGUCGAGCGAACGGACGAGAAGCUUGCUUCUCUGAUGUUAGCGGCGGACGGGUGAGUAACACGUGGAUAACCUACCUAUAAGACUGGGAUAACUUCGGGAAACCGGAGCUAAUACCGGAAAAUAUUUUAACCGGCUUGUUUCAAAGGGGAAGAAGGGCCUUGCUGUAACUAUUAGAUGAAUCCGCGCUGCAUUAGCUAGUUGGUAAGGUAACGGCUUACCAAGGCAACGAUGCAUAGCCGACCUGAGAGGGUGAUCGGCCACACUGGAACUGAGACACGGUCCAGACUCCUACGGGAGGCAGCAGUAGGGAAUCUUCCGCAAUGGGCGAAAGCCUGACGGAGCAACGCCGCGUGAGUGAUGAAGGUCUUCGGAUCGUAAAACUCUGUUAUUAGGGAAGAACAUAUGUGUAAGUAACUGCGCACAUCUUGACGGUACCUAAUCAGAAAGCCACGGCUAACUACGUG